This 253-nucleotide ribosomal RNA is filed under the name uncultured bacterium. RNAcentral describes it as "partial 16S ribosomal RNA". It matches the Rfam family "Bacterial small subunit ribosomal RNA", at positions 524 to 776 of the family's 1533-position model. RNAcentral also lists the same sequence under 1 other name. The record is from RNAcentral.
UACGUAGGUGACCAGCGUUGUCCGGAUUUACUGGGCGUAAAGAGCGCGCAGGCGGUCGUUCAAGUCGAGUGUGAAAGCCCCCGGCUCAACUGGGGAGGGUCACUCGAUACUGAUCGACUUGAAGGCAGGAGAGGGAAGCGGAAUUCCCGGUGUAGUGGUGAAAUGCGUAGAUAUCGGGAGGAACACCAGUGGCGAAGGCGGCUUCCUGGCCUGUUCUUGACGCUGAGGCGCGAAAGCUAGGGGAGCAAACGGG